This 107-nucleotide small nuclear RNA is filed under the name Dipodomys ordii (Ord's kangaroo rat). Lineage: Eukaryota; Metazoa; Chordata; Mammalia; Rodentia; Heteromyidae. The record is from RNAcentral.
GUGCUCAAUUCAGCAGGAAAUACACUAACAUUGGAACGAUACAGAGAAGAUUAGCAUGGCACCUGUGCAAGGACGACAUGCAAAUUCGUGGAGCAUUCCAUAUUUUU